UGACCCAUGGUGUAAUGGCAGCACUUAUGGUUUUGGUCCAUACAGUCUAGGUUCGAGUCCUGGUGGGUCAG
RNAcentral lists this transfer RNA (71 nucleotides) under Bacteroidales bacterium. RNAcentral's name for it is "tRNA-Gln". It matches the Rfam family "tRNA". Rfam says of the family: Transfer RNA (tRNA) molecules are approximately 80 nucleotides in length. Their secondary structure includes four short double-helical elements and three loops (D, anti-codon, and T loops). The record is from RNAcentral. Lineage: Bacteria; Pseudomonadati; Bacteroidota; Bacteroidia; Bacteroidales.